CGGCUCCCGGCCUUGGCUGGGCCACGGGCCCAGGUGAGGCUGUGACGGGCCGGGGUGGAGCUGAGGUUGGUGACGCCGUGUGGGUGGCAGGAGGCACGGUGUGACAAUGUCAGCUGUGGUGGCGGGGAUGCAGGCGCAGCGGCACCUGGCAGCUGAGCGCAGGUCACAGCGGUGAGACGGGACGGGGCAGCCUCUGGCUCUGGUCCGGGUUCUGCUGCUCACCACCUGGCGACAGGUGACUCCUCCCUCUGGGUCCCCUCCUGUUGCUGCUGGAGCAGAAGGAGCCAUCCCCGCUCCUGAGAGCCAGGGUCGGAGUGACCAAGGCCUGGGAACCCUUGGGCCAGCGUGACUGUCACUGUGGCCAGGGCCGCGGGGACUUCCUGAGGAGCCGCCCCGUCCUUCCCUGGGGCCAGCCCUUGCCCUGCGGAGCUCUGGGACCAUCUCUCUUCCCCUUGGCGUGGGGCUGGCACUCCUGGGGCCCCUUGUCCCCUGGUCACAGGGAUGGGCACAGGACGCAGAUGGGGCCAGUUCUCUCUGAGGGCCAGCAGGGGGUGCUGUCACUGGGCAGGUGUCAGGCAGCCACCUGAGAUUGCCAGCUCACAGGGAGGGUAUCUGUCCCCAGUGGAGGGCAAAGGACUAAGAACAGCAGAAACGAGAACAGGUGAGAGGAGAAAGAGCAGGAGAACGUCAUGGCGGCCCACAGAUCCCAGCAGCCCUGCUCACGCGCCUGGAUGCAGCUGUGCCUGAAGACAGCCUGGCCCGCUCCUGAAACUGCAGGUUACACGGCUCGGUAGCCGCCCCGGGGAGUGAGUUGGGCUUCCACUUUGCAAACAGACUUCUUUCCCACGCCUCCAGCCUUCUCCGGCUCCUAGAAUCUCAGAACCUUCCCAAGAAAGCAAAAUCGAUGACACAGCUGACUUCCAAGUUUGGGGACAAAAGACUCUUGUCCUGCCAGACCCAAACCUGGCUCCUGUGUCCUCUUUCCAGGGAACAGAUGUGAUUGACCUAGUUCCAGGCCCAGGUGUCGGGGACAGAGGUCAAGAUCUGCUGCUACGUGCCCCCACCCCCCACCGUAGUCGGGAGCCCUUUACAGGGAGCCUCCGUUCGAAGUGAGGGAGCACGGGGAUCCCGUCGUCUUCUCCUAAACAAUCCAAGUGACACGGGAAACACCUGCAGAGGACCUUAAAACCUCACCUGACAGCCAGCCCCCGCCUCCGGAGAGCCCAGUGCCCCAGGUACAGACCCUGGCUUCCUGCUGGGAAGGAAGGGGUGGCUUUACCCAGGGGCCCGCCCCCCCUGGGGUCUUUCUGCUCCGCACUGGGUCCCACGUCCUGUCCUGUCCCCAUGAGGCAUAUUCAGGUUGCUGCCCGCGUUUCUCUAAUUUGAGGGUCGGAGGCAACGCACCCACGUCUGCGGUCCUGCCGCGCCUGCCCGAUGGCGGCUGAGGGUACCUCCUUAGAAGGGGCAGCCGCAGGGUCAGGGCCGCUGGGAUUUCCAAGCUCCCGGUGCGUCCUGCCUGGUUCUCCGGGGCUGGAGGUCCUGGUGGAGGCUGGUGACGGAUGUUACUGGGGUUUCCUCAUCUCCAGAGAAACCAGGAGGGGGAGGAAGAGGGGGAGAAGCCGGCGGCCUGGAGGGUGCUGGCUCUGCUGGGUGACCAGCCGGGCCAGCUCGCCCAGGACGUUCCUGGUCAGUCCCCGUCCUGGGAACUGCCUCCUCUUGGCGAAGCAGGAUAGCUGGUCACUCGCUCCUGCCUCCCAGGGCCUGUCUCCCGAGCUCGGUGGCACCACGGGAACGUUCCGUGCCUCUGCCUGUGGGACAGGGGGUGCCCGGCUGCCUCCCACACUGCAUUCUGGGAAGGCCGGUGCUGAGAAGCAGCCAGGCCGAGUGCCCGGCAGGCUUGGCUCUGGCGACCACGGGCUGGCAGCACACGCUGGCCCGGGUCUGCGGAGUCCAGGGAGCCAGGGAGGCCGUGCCCAUUCCCAUGGGGCAGCUGCAGGCCCUGGCAAGACUGAGAAAGGGCUGCCGUGCUGGGGCCCGCGUGUCCCAUCUCUCCCACCCCAUGCUGUAGGGGACACUGAGGCCAGAGAGGGCACUGCCCUGAGUCACGUCCUGAGGGGCAGAGCUGGGACAGGAAUCCAGGCUGCCCUGCUCCGGCUGGGUCACUCCCUCUGUGCAGCUGGGGACCAGGUGUUCCUCUGUGGGAAAUGGCUCUUCGGGGUUUGCCCUGCCCUAUCCCAUGGCCACGGGUCCGGCGGCUCCUCGGGGAGCAGGGUGUCUUGAGGUCUUGCCCCGCCAAAGCCCGACUGCACCAGGGGUCCGCAGGCUCCUGGCCACAACUUCUCGGGGGUCUCUGUCUGCCCUCAGGCUCCGCUCGUCCCGCGGCUUGAAGAUGCAGAACGGGGCCAGAAGCACCAGACCCAGCUGCUGGGGGCUGAGUGUCGGGGCCUGUGCUCGAGUCCCAGUGGGCACCUGCUGGGCACGUCCAGCGUGGGCCUGGGCUUCAUGGAGACCUCCGCGGCCUGCCUUCCCCGUCCCCAUCCAGCUGAUGCACCUUGACGGUCCACACAUCCGCGAGGACACCACCACCAUCCAGACGGCAAAGGUGCAGGUGGCCCAGGAGCUUCCCGUGCCCUGUCUCCUCCCCAGGCAGGGGCUGAUCUGGUUUCCGACGGGCAGGGAAGCAGCAGGGCUGGCUGCUGGUGGGCACUGGGCCCCUGGCGGGCGGGGCCUUCCCUCAUGGGCAGGGCCUGCUCCUCGUGGGCAGGGCCUGCUCCUCGUGGGCGGGGCCUGCACGGGCGCAGCCUUCCCUCCUCCUGGGUGUGCGGCAGGGGUUCUGCUGGGGGUGGUUUUCAGCCUGUGCGUUGUCUGGAAGGCGUUGGCGUCUUUCCACGUGUGCCCCCGUCUCUCCGUUGAUUUAGUUCUUUCAUUUCUCUCAGCAAAAUUUAUCUUGCACAGCUUUCUGCAGCCUGUCUCUGUGUCUCUGUCCUCACUCUUCAAUGCUGUUGUAAGUGGAUUUUAUUUCAAUUGUUUUGGGUUGCUGUCCUCCAGCAACAGAGUUGAUUUUGGUCUAUGGAUCCUGCAUAUCUCGGCCCUGUGAAGGCCACUGAGAAGUCCUAGUGAUGGUUUUAUAGAUCCCAUAAGGUUUUUUGGCAGGGAGGGAACCAGGGAUGGAACUCGGGGGCACCCGACCUCUGAGCACAUCCCCAGGCCUGUUUUGUAAUUUAUUUAGAGACAGAGUCUCACUGAGUGGCUUAGGGCCUUGCCAUUGCUGAGGCUGGCUUUUUGAGAUGUUUGGAAACGUGCCGCACGUACUUGAAGAGAAAGUACAUCCUGCCGUCGCUGAGCGGCAGAUUCUAAACCCGCCCGUCAGGACAUGUUGACUGACACUGCCGUUCCAGUCUCCCACACCUUUCUUCGCUUUUGUGCAUUUGUUCUAUCACUUAUUGAAGAAAGGGCUACUGAAAUCUAAUUGUGCGUCUGUCUAAUUCUCUGUAUUUCUGCCCAUUUUGCACCAUGUAUUUGAAGAUCUUAUUUGUUGAAAAACAUCUAGAAUUGUGAGGUCCACUUGAGGACUCUUGCCCCCUCUGUCACUUCUGAAGUGAAUCUUGAUCUCGGGCAGCGUUCUCUCUUCUAAGAUCUACUUUGCUAUUAAUAAAACCACUUCAGCUCUUUUGGAUUAAUAUCAGCAUGCUGUGUUUAGGCUUUUAUUUCAAAGCUAUUCCUGAGUUGAUAUUUAGCAUGGAUUUCUUGUAGGCAGCAUGUAAUUUGAUCUUGCUUUUUAUCUCAUCUGCCAGUCUCUGCCUUUUAAGUGGUGGUGUUGAUGCAUUUACGUUUAAUGUGAUCAUAGAUAUGAUCUCACUUAAUUUCACCACCAUUCUGUUGGUUUUGUAUUUUUAUUUCCACUUUUUCUGUUUCCUUUUUCCUCCUUUUGGCUUUUUGGGACUAAACAAUAUUUUUUUUGCUACUCCAUUCUGUCUUGCUGUAAGCUCCUGAGUUACAUCUUAUUUCAGUGGUGGAUAAAGGAUGGGUUGUCUCUGUCUUGAACUUCACAGUCACCCUCUGGGGGCUACUGUCCUGGGGUGAGGCCGUACGACUUCACAGACAGGUGAAGAGACUGUCGGCACUGUAUGUCACUGUGUCCCCGACCUCUGUGCUCUUUUCAUGCCACGUGAGCAUCUGUGUGAGUGUGUGCAUUGUGUGAGUGUGUGCAUUGUGUGGGUGUGCACUGUGUGAGUGUGUGCACUGUGUGAGUGUGUGCAUCUCUGUGUGUGCACUAUGUGAGUGUGUGCACUGUGUGAGUGUGUGCAUCUGUGUGUGCACUGUGUGAGUGUGUGCAUCUGUGUGUGUGCACUGGGUGAGUGUGUGCAUCUGUGUGAGUGUGUGCAUCUGUGUGUGCACUGUGUGAGUGUGUGCAUCUCUGUGUGUGCACUGUGUGAGUGUGUGCAUCUGUGUGAGUGUGUGUACUGUGUGAGUGUGUACACUGUGUGAGUGUGUGCAUCUGUGUGUGCACUGUGUGAGUGUGUGUACUGUGUGAGUGUGUGCACUGGGUGAGUGUGUGCAUCUGUGUGAGUGCACUGUGUGAGUGCGUGUACUGUGUGAGUGCGUGUACUGUGUGAGUGUGUGCACUAUGUGAGUGUGUGCACUGUGUGAGAGUGUGCAGCGAGAGACAGUUGAGAAAAAUCAGUCUUCUCCACUUGCACAAACACUUCGCGUCCAUCUACAGUGUCCACUCCUCCAGGUAGCCUCUGCUAAGGUCCUAAGUCACCUGCUGCACGCAUGCUCCCUGUGCCUGGGGCCCUGUUCUUACAGACGUCACCUUCACGAGGACAGAACUCAAGGCCACAGGAUUCUCCCCUGAGUCCCACGUGGCCCCUGACUACAGCUAGAUCUCCAUGCACACUCCUGGGCUUGGCCACACUGUGCCACCGGGCGCGGCCUGGCAGCAGCCUCCGCUCCCCAGCUGAGGACUAACGGAAAGGGCAGAGCUCUGGGCAGGGAGCACAGCCGGACAACCUGGGGCUGCGGCUAACGGGCAGCGUGCGGAUGGGCCGGCUGCUUGCCCAUCUGUACGGUGGGGCUGACUUCCAGGCUUGCAGAAUGGACGGGCGUGGAACUUGGGCAGCCUGUGGGGGCGCUCGCUGGCUCUCCACCCCUCGCCUCCCCCUGCCUGCGGCCAAGGCGGGGAGUCCCACGUCUCCAGGUCUUUCUGGUUUCAAGUCCUCUGUCCACCAGCACAAACCCUCACUGUAGGCCUCUGAGGUGCAGGCGCCUUGUGACCACAGCGAAGGAUGUGCCUUCUGGUGGCUGUGCUGGUCAUCGGCUGACUGCUGGCUCCGUCCAGCUGUGUCCAGGUGUGUGGUGCUGGCAGCCCCACAGAGGAAUGGCCCACCCUCCACGCGGCUCGGUGAUGUCGCCAACAUGAGCUUUAUGGGGGUCCUGACUUAAUACAAUAAAAUUCACUGCCUCGGGGUAGAAUUCCCUUAAGGGCCCACCUCUGGGAGCCCCUUCUGGACAUGAGCCACUUGCGAUCCCGUCUGCCGAGGGCUGCUGUGGACAGGCCAUCUGCGCUGUGGCUGUCUGAGGUGGGAGGUCAGUGCAGCCAGUUGCUCCAACACGGUGGGAGUGGGGUCCUGGAGCUUUCCAACCUGCUGGCAGGACCCCACCUAGCAGCACGGGCCAAAGCCAGCACCAGGCCGAAGCCACUCUCUGUCCGUGGGGUGCCACAGGGGCCAGGGCCAGGGUGUGGCUCUGGGGACACCAGGCAAGAGUGCAGGGUUCCCCAAGUUGGUGAGCAUGAGCACAGUCCCUGGCAUGUGAGGGGGCAUGAGGGCCCUGGCCCUGGCUGAGCAUCCCUCGCCCUCGCGUGCUGCGCGGGGUCCACGCGCUCGGGUUACGGAAGAAACCUGUGUGUCCUGCGCACUCUCUGGGGAAGCAUGCUGGCCAGCCUCCCCGUAGGGUGUCCCUGCUGGCCAGGAAGGGCACCUAGAAGGACUCACUCAGGGCCAGCCGUC
This 6011-nucleotide long non-coding RNA is filed under the name Marmota monax (woodchuck). The record is from RNAcentral. Lineage: Eukaryota; Metazoa; Chordata; Mammalia; Rodentia; Sciuridae.